This 145-nucleotide small RNA is filed under the name uncultured Paenibacillus sp. RNAcentral's name for it is "ydaO/yuaA leader". It matches the Rfam family "c-di-AMP riboswitch aptamer (ydaO/yuaA leader)", at positions 22 to 130 of the family's 134-position model. From Rfam's summary of the family: This family represents a conserved RNA structure found upstream of the ydaO and yuaA genes in Bacillus subtilis and related genes in other bacteria. The ydaO/yuaA element is thought to act as a genetic "off" switch for the ydaO and yuaA genes in its native state. Lineage: Bacteria; Bacillati; Bacillota; Bacilli; Caryophanales; Paenibacillaceae. The record is from RNAcentral.
UUCAAGGAACGGGGGACCCAUUCGGGCAGGGCGCAGAUCGCGCUUACCGCCCAUGGGGCGAAUCCUGGCGAUGCUUGCGCAUCGCGAGGUAGGGCGUCUCUCGCGCCCGAGCCCGGCAGCUAACCUCGUAAGUGCAAACGAGAGA